AUUGAACGCUGGCGGCAGGCCUAACACAUGCAAGUCGAGCGGAUGAAGGGAGCUUGCUCCUGGAUUCAGCGGCGGACGGGUGAGUAAUGCCUAGGAAUCUGCCUGGUAGUGGUGGAUAACGUCCUGAAACGGGCGCUAAUACCGCAUACUUCCUGAUGGAGCAAGUGGGGGAUCUUCGGACCUCUCGCUCUCAGAUGAGCCUAGGUCGGAUUAGCUAGUUGGUGGGGUAAAGGCCUACCAAGCCGACGAUCCGUAACUGGCCUGAGUGGAUGAUCAGUCACACUGGAACGGGGACACGGUCAAGACGACUAAGGGAGGCAGCAGUGGGGAAUAUUGGACAAUGGGCGAAAGCAUGAUACAGCCAUGCGGCGUGUGUGAAGAAGGUCUUCGGAUUGUAAAGAACUUUAAGUGGGGAGGAAGGGCAGUAAGUUAAUACCUUGCUGUUGUGACGUUACCAACAGAAUAAGCACCGGCUAACUUCGUG
Molecule: ribosomal RNA, 484 nt
Filed under: uncultured bacterium
Lineage: Bacteria
Description: partial 16S ribosomal RNA
Rfam family: Bacterial small subunit ribosomal RNA
Source: RNAcentral